UAGGGAAUAUUGGACAAUGGGGGCAACCCUGAUCCAGCGAUGCCGCGUGUGUGAAGAAGGCCUGCGGGUUGUAAAGCACCUUAGUUGGGGAGGAGAAGGUGCGUAUGAAUAGUGCGCGCUGGAGACGUUACCCAAAGAAUAAGCACCGGCAAACUCUGUGCCAGCAGCCGCGGUAAUACAGAGGGUGCAAGCGUUAAUCGGAAUUACUGGGCGUAAAGCGCGCGUAGGUGGUUAGUUAAGUUGGAUGUGAAAUCCCCGGGCUCAACCUGGGAACUGCAUUCAAAACUGACUGACUAGAGUAUGGUAGAGGGUGGUGGAAUUUCCUGUGUAGCGGUGAAAUGCGUAGAUAUAGGAAGGAACACCAGUGGCGAAGGCGACCACCUGGACUGAUACUGACACUGAGGUGCGAAAGCGUGGGGAGCAAACAGGAUUAGAUACCCCCGUAGUCCCUGAGCGGGCUGGCAAGGCGCAU
RNAcentral lists this ribosomal RNA (472 nucleotides) under uncultured bacterium. Its description in RNAcentral is "bacterial SSU rRNA". It matches the Rfam family "Bacterial small subunit ribosomal RNA", at positions 355 to 825 of the family's 1533-position model. The record is from RNAcentral.